This 67-nucleotide transfer RNA is filed under the name Marmota monax (woodchuck). RNAcentral describes it as "tRNA.Ser". The record is from RNAcentral. Lineage: Eukaryota; Metazoa; Chordata; Mammalia; Rodentia; Sciuridae.
GAUUGUGGCUCAGUGGUAGAGUGCUUUCCUAGAAAGUGUGAGGCACUCAGUUCAAUCCUCAGCACCA